Monomorium pharaonis (pharaoh ant) is the source of this 3457-nucleotide long non-coding RNA. RefSeq lists it as uncharacterized. NCBI's taxonomy places the organism in Eukaryota, Metazoa, Arthropoda, Insecta, Hymenoptera, Formicidae. The record is from RefSeq and is a predicted model, not a curated record. The transcript is spliced from 2 exons.
CUAAAAAAAAAUUUUUUUGGCCAAUUGCUAAAAAAAUGACGUUUUACUGUAAUAAAAUUUUCUCUAAGGAAAAGUAAAUUUAACGUAUCAUACAAAGAAAGGUCGUAGUUGUAAGUAUGGUAUCUCGAAAAAAAUGUUAACUAUGCACACAAAGAGAAUUUUCUUAGAAUUUAUCUCAAAUUUAUAGUCAUAAGACAAUAUAAUGUUCUGAGAACUUUUUUGUGAUUUUCUCUUUAUUAUUAGAUAUUGAUAAAUCAGAAAAAACUCUUCGAAAUAUUAUGUUGUUUCUCAAUUACCGUAAUUUUAAAAAUAAAUUUUAGGAGAAAAUUUUCCUUGUGUACCGAUUUUACGGUAUUGUCAGAGUUGGAUAUUUACAUAAAAUAUGAAUAAUCUACAUUAUGGAUAAAAAAUACAUUGCAUAAACUUUAUGAAUUAUAUUUUACAUGUCAUCCUACAUAAACAUAACUCAAGAUUACCGUAAACAAGAUUAUAUUCCACACAUCUUUCAGAAAGCUUUUUGAAAAAUAUCUAAAAGAUAUCUUCUGCUAGAUAUCUUUUAGAAAACUUUUUGAAAGAUGUUGUAUGGGAUCUACAUAGAUUAUUUGCAUAUUGUUUACGUUAUUUAUACGAAUCUGUCAUAUUAACAAGGAAUGUAAAUUAUUACAGAUUAGAUAAUUUAAAACUUAAAUAGAAACUCAGAAGAAAAUAAUUAAGUUAUGAAAUUGUUAAUAUAUUUAAUUUAAUAUAGUAUUGAUAAAUAAAAGUAUAUUAAAAAUAAUAUAUGUAGAAUAUAAUUUUUACCAUUUCUGAUAAAAUGUCAAUCUUUUCUAUAAAUCAUUAUAUUGAUUAUAUUUUAUACAGAUAACACAUAAAAUAUAGUUUACAUAGUUUACAUUGUGUACACAUAAUGUAGAUUACAUAUAUGUUUUUUACACAUAAAAAAUAUGAACACCCAAUCCUGCAAUAUCUAUGGAUUAUUGAAGAUUCAGAUUUCAUCAGAUAUAGUGAUAAUUAUAUUUUAUUUCUUUAUUUUUCAUAUUUUUAUUUUAUCAAUACUAAAGUCAUAUAUGUUAACAAUCUUAUAAUUUAAUUUUUUUAACUUUUUAUAUUGUAUUAUAUAAUUUAUAAUAAUUAGAUUUUAUUAUCUACAUAAAAAAGGUUUGUGUGAGCAUAAUAUAAACAAUAUGUAAAUAACUUAUGUAAACGUACGUCGUGAUAUGCACGGCCCUAGUCUCGAUAAUACAGUCAUCGAGAGCUGUCCAUCGAUAGACAGAGCGCGAAUAUCAAAUUGUGGUCGGUAUCGCAGGCUUCUGCCACGAACAAGAUUGAAACAGCGUACGAAACGACAGUGAGCUGAUCUAGAAAUCCGGUUAAAACUGGUCACAGUUCUUGGCAUUACGUCGCACCGACAACACGAGAAAAUCAAACCGGUCGGGCCACGAGUAUUGGUGUGUUACUUUCAAACGCACGUGCACAAGUGUAUACGCGAAGCGUACGUAAUGUGAACGAAAAAGGAGCGCUGCCGGUCGUAAAAUUUCUCUCAUGUUUCCACAUUUUCGUCAAAAAAAAGUUACAUGAUUAUUAAAUAAAGUGACCAUUUAAUCAUAAAUAAAGAUAUGCACCAGUAUGUAAAACCAGGGUAAGUAAUUUAAUAAAACUAUAUUAUAUUUUUUAAUAUAAUUGUUUUGUUUUUAUUACUAUUUCGUGCUUGUAAACCAUAUAUGUCUUCAGCCGAGAAAAAAUGAACUUAUGCAAUUAUGUAUGAUUAUAUAAUUGGCCAUAUAUAUUAUAAUAUAAUUGAAUCCAAAAAAUGACGUGAUAUGAUCUUAUAUAGCUAUAUACAAUUGUAUAUAUUCAAAUAUAAUAUGAUUAUGUAUAACAUAAUUAUAUAUAAUUAUAUAUAAAUAAAUGUAAUAUGAUCAUAUGUUAUAUUAUACGAUCGUAUAUAAUAAUAUUUGAAUGAGGAAAUGAUAUGAUUUUAUCUGUAUGUAAUUAUAUUCAGUUACAUAUGAUUAUAUAUGAAAACAUCUGAACAAAUAUGAUUACAAAUAAAUAAGAUCAUAUCGGGCCAAAUUCGAUAUUAUUUUAUAUAAUCAUAUAUAAUUAUACAUGUUAUUAGAUUUGUUUAUAUCUAAUUAUAAAUAUUUAUAUAUGAUCAUAUUAUGUCCAUUUUUUCUUGGGCAUUCUUUAAAAAAAUUAUCUUUUACAAAAGUAAAGAUGGCGACUUCUUUCUGAACUCACUUCAAAUAUAAAUGAUUGGAUUUUUCACAAAAAAUUAAAUAUCCUUAUAAGUUUUAUGUCUUGGUGUGCAUAUCUUGUGAAAUAUUCGUAAAAUAGAAUAAAAAUGAAAAAAUGCAUAUAUUUUCCACCGAAAUUAAAAUAGCGAAUUUUUUCUGAGCUUAUUUUAAAAGUCAACAUAAGAACUGCAUGAAGAACACAACAUAUUUUAUAAAUGGUGGAUUUAAUGUGGUGGAUAAUGCUAAAUUUUUUUAAUUUGAGAGAAACUCAAUUUGAGCUACUAUUUUAACAAUUUAAGUCAAUUUUUAAAAUUUUGAAAUUUUAGCUACAGAUUUAUAAUUAGCAAAUCUAAAAGCUUUUAGUAAAGAAUUAAAUAUCAUUAGAAAAAAAUGCACAAAAGGGAUAAAUAGAACUUAAAAGGAUAGGAAAGGGUUAAGAUUUAUUAUAUAUAUUAUUUGCGAUUAGAAUACUUGAUGCAUUCGGAAAAUUGUAGCUAGAAGAACUUCGUAAAUUAUAACAAGUAUAUGCACGAACAUCCUCAACAUAUCUCAGCUAUAUCGAUGGAUCGAAUACUGAAGAAAAAUUUAGUGGUAUUUUUGAUUCUCGAUAUCGACAUUAUUUCACACUGAUUAAAUCCGUUGCACACUGAACUAGUUUAUUCCGGCUCGCGCUGACCUUACUGACUCACGACAUUAUCGUAUCUAUAUAGUGGUUCUCAAAUUAUAUAUUUGUCCCUUAUCGCACUUACAUUCGGUGCAUUGCAAGAUAAGAUGACGUUAAUCCUAAUCGUUACACCAUGGCGUGAUCAUUAUUGUGCAUUAAUGUAAUAAAUUAUAGAAAAUCAAGUUACCUAUAUUGACAGGUUAUUAUUAUGAAAAAAUAAACGAAAGCAUUGAAUUUAACAUGUUUUAUACUGAAUACUAUGUUAAUACCAUAAGCUAUGAUAAUAUUGUGAAAUAAAAUAUUCUUUGAAAAAAAUUAGACAUUAUAUAAAUUUUCAAAAAGAGAUACAGAUUUAGAUAGGCAAUUGUGACAAUGUUCAAGAUUAUUCUUAAAACUUGUGUAAUAUGAACACAUGCUAUAAGAUUUUGUUAUCAUUAAUUUCUAGAAAAUAUAUAUCAGUCAUAAAUAUUUGUAUACAGAGAAAAAGAUUUCUUCAGAUAUAAUAACAAUUUUAUUUGACUAUUCCAAAGUAUAUACUUCUUUGUGAAAAAAAAAA